RNAcentral lists this transfer RNA (72 nucleotides) under Drechslerella stenobrocha 248. Its description in RNAcentral is "tRNA-Glu (TTC) (tRNA-Glu-TTC-1-1)". It matches the Rfam family "tRNA". From Rfam's summary of the family: Transfer RNA (tRNA) molecules are approximately 80 nucleotides in length. Their secondary structure includes four short double-helical elements and three loops (D, anti-codon, and T loops). The record is from RNAcentral. Lineage: Eukaryota; Fungi; Ascomycota; Orbiliomycetes; Orbiliales; Orbiliaceae.
UCCGAUAUGGUGUAGUGGUUAACAUCGUCCGCUUUCACCGGACAGCCCCGGGUUCGAUUCCCGGUAUCGGAA